UACGUAGGGUGCGAGCGUUGUCCGGAAUUAUUGGGCGUAAAGAGCUCGUAGGCGGUUUGUCGCGUCGACUGUGAAAACCUACAGCUUAACUGUGGGCUUGCAGUCGAUACGGGCAGACUUGAGUUCGGUAGGGGAGACUGGAAUUCCUGGUGUAGCGGUGAAAUGCGUAGAUAUCUGGAGGAACACCGGUGGCGAAGGCGGCAUCCUGGACCGGCAUUGACGCUGAGUGAGCGAAAGCCAGGGGAGCAAACGGG
RNAcentral lists this ribosomal RNA (254 nucleotides) under uncultured bacterium. RNAcentral describes it as "partial 16S ribosomal RNA". It matches the Rfam family "Bacterial small subunit ribosomal RNA", at positions 524 to 776 of the family's 1533-position model. The record is from RNAcentral.